CCUACGGGAGGCAGCAGUGGGGAAUCUUGGACAAUGGGCGCAAGCCUGAUCCAGCCAUGCCGCGUGAGUGAUGAAGGCCCUAGGGUCGUAAAGCUCUUUCGCCAGGGAUGAUAAUGACAGUACCUGGUAAAGAAACCCCGGCUAACUCCGUGCCAGCAGCCGCGGUAAUACGGAGGGGGUUAGCGUUGUUCGGAAUUACUGGGCGUAAAGCGCACGUAGGCGGAUCGGAAAGUUGGGGGUGAAAUCCCGGGGCUCAACCCCGGAACUGCCUCCAAAACUAUCGGUCUAGAGUUCGAGAGAGGUGAGUGGAAUUCCGAGUGUAGAGGUGAAAUUCGUAGAUAUUCGGAGGAACACCAGUGGCGAAGGCGGCUCACUGGCUCGAUACUGACGCUGAGGUGCGAAAGUGUGGGGAGCAAACAGGAUUAGAUACCCUGGUAGUCCACACCGUAAACGAUGAAUGCCAGUUGUCGGGUAGCAUGCUAUUCGGUGACACACCUAACGGAUUAAGCAUUCCGCCUGGGGAGUACGGUCGCAAGAUUAAAACUCAAAGGAAUUGACGGGG
This 562-nucleotide ribosomal RNA is filed under the name uncultured bacterium. RNAcentral describes it as "bacterial SSU rRNA". It matches the Rfam family "Bacterial small subunit ribosomal RNA", at positions 338 to 918 of the family's 1533-position model. The record is from RNAcentral.